CCUACGGGAGGCAGCAGUAAGGAAUAUUGGGCAAUGGGCGAAAGCCUGACCCAGCAACGCCGCGUGAGGGACGAAGGCCUUCGGGUUGUAAACCUCUUUUCUGGGGGACGAGACCAGGACGGUACCUCAGGAAUAAGUCUCGGCUAACUACGUGCCAGCAGCCGCGGUAAGACGUAGGAGGCGAGCGUUAUCCGGAUUUACUGGGCAUAAAGCGCACGCAGGCGGCUUCGUUAGUCGGAUGUGAAAGCUCCUGGCUUAACUGGGAGAGGCCAUUCGAUACUGCGGGGCGUGAGGUUGGAAGAGGGGUGUGAAAUUCCCGGUGUAGGGGUGGAAUGCGUAGAUAUCGGGAGGACCAAUAGUGGCGAAGGCGGUCUCCUGGGGUGCAACUGACACUGAGGCCCGAAGGCGUGGGGAGCGAACAGGAUUAGAUACCCCGGUAGU
This 441-nucleotide ribosomal RNA is filed under the name uncultured Anaerolineae bacterium. RNAcentral's name for it is "partial 16S ribosomal RNA". It matches the Rfam family "Bacterial small subunit ribosomal RNA", at positions 338 to 794 of the family's 1533-position model. Lineage: Bacteria; Bacillati; Chloroflexota; Anaerolineae. The record is from RNAcentral.